UCUUUCUUUUUUUUUUUUUUAAGUCCAGUCGAUCUCUCGAAACAACCGAGCUUCUUGUAUCUCGAAGGCUUCCCCUGCCCUUCAGGGAAGGAGAAGAUGAUGGAUCUUCCUUGCCUAGUUGUGGUCGAAGCCCUCCCCCACCUAGGUUGAGAGUAAAUAAUUGUUUUGGGUACUCUUUUCUUGUAAGUUGGGUCAAUUGAAGAGGGCCUUCAAAGCAGACCUAAUUAUGUGGUUGUGGUAUUUUGGGGUUUGUGUUUACGAAGACAGUUUGAUUUCCAAUGGCUGCCAAUUGGUUUGUAACUAAAAGAUAGCUUUGAGUGAUAAGAGGGCUCACUUGCAUUGGCUGUUCCGCAUCUCCGGGUUUUGCUUCUACACUACGGUUGGGAAAGUCUUCCCGAUGGCAUCGAGUGCCAGAAAGCUCUGCAAUAGCUGUGCUUUGAGUAUGUCAAGGAUGGUGGGAGACUAAUGCUGCUUUGAGUUGCUGCACGAUGAUGGGCGACGUUGGGUUACUCCUUGCUAUGUUAGCAAUGUCUGUGAGCUUCGAUCUUUGUUCAUCUUAUUUUGAUAGCAAGCCUCCUAGUGGUCGGCAACGUGUAGUUCUGAGUUAGAGCUCUCCUGUGAUCUUAGUGUUUCUAGGUUGGGGAAAGUUCUGCUUUAUUAGAUGGAUUUUAACUAGAUUUUGGAUUGAGUUGUUUCUUUGAGCUUGUUAUUAGUUCCACAAUAUGAGCCUCCUUUCUAUCCUGUUAUUUUGGCUUUUAGCCUUUUAAUGCAAGACGCAAG
This 780-nucleotide unclassified non-coding RNA is filed under the name Hevea brasiliensis (rubber tree). Lineage: Eukaryota; Viridiplantae; Streptophyta; Magnoliopsida; Malpighiales; Euphorbiaceae. The record is from RNAcentral.